Molecule: ribosomal RNA, 301 nt
Filed under: uncultured bacterium
Lineage: Bacteria
Description: partial 16S ribosomal RNA
Rfam family: Bacterial small subunit ribosomal RNA
Source: RNAcentral
CAGUCGCCGCGGUAACACGGAGGAUGCGAGCGUUAUUCGGAAUCAUUGGGUUUAAAGGGUCUGUAGGCGGGCUAUUAAGUCAGGGGUGAAAGGUCUCAGCUUAACUGAGAAAUUGCCUUUGAUACUGGUAGUCUUGAAUAUCUGUGAAGUUCUUGGAAUGUGUAGUGUAGCGGUGAAAUGCUUAGAUAUUACACAGAACACCGAUUGCGAAGGCAGGGGACUAACAGACAAUUGACGCUGAGAGACGAAAGCGUGGGGAGCGAACAGGAUUAGAUACCCCAGUAGUCCCUGUCUCUUAUAC